AGUGAACGCUGGCGGUAGGCCUAACACAUGCUAGUCGAACGGCAGCACAGUAAGAGCUUGCUCUUACGGGUGGCGAGUGGCGGACGGGUGAGGAAUACAUCGGAAUCUACUUUUUCGUGGGGGAUAACGUAGGGAAACUUACGCUAAUACCGCAUACGACCUACGGGUGAGAGCAGGGGAUCUUCGGACCUUGCGCGAUUGAAUGAGCCGAUGUCGGAUUAGCUAGUUGGCGGGGUAAAGGCCCACCAAGGCGACGAUCCGUAGCUGGUCUGAGAGGAUGAUCAGCCACACUGGAACUGAGACACGGUCCAGACUCCUACGGGAGGCAGCAGUGGGGAAUAUUGGACAAUGGGCGCAAGCCUGAUCCAGCCAUACCGCGUGGGUGAAGAAGGCCUUCGGGUUGUAAAGCCCUUUUGUUGGGAAAGAAAAGCAGCAGGUUAAUACCCCGCUGUUCUGACGGUACCCAAAGAAUAAGCACCGGCUAACUUCGUG
This 492-nucleotide ribosomal RNA is filed under the name uncultured bacterium. RNAcentral's name for it is "partial 16S ribosomal RNA". It matches the Rfam family "Bacterial small subunit ribosomal RNA", at positions 29 to 507 of the family's 1533-position model. The record is from RNAcentral.